Cyprinus carpio carpio is the source of this 1220-nucleotide long non-coding RNA. The record is from Ensembl. NCBI's taxonomy places the organism in Eukaryota, Metazoa, Chordata, Actinopteri, Cypriniformes, Cyprinidae.
CAAGUGCAUGCGUGUAAAAGAAAGAGUGCGGGAGGAUUUGGAGUGCUGUCCAGCUGAGGUCGGCCGACUGUCUGAAAACUUUUUCUCACACUCUUGGAGUUGCACUCUUUCCUCUGUUUACACAAACAGACAUAGCACUGGAAAGACUAGAAUUACUAGUUUCCAGCAUGCAGUGUGAUUUGGAUUCUACUCUGCACCAUGGGAUGAUUGUUUUUGGUCAACAAGCAUUAGCAGAAAUUUAUCAGCUACAUCAGCUUCAAAGCCAGCAUUAACCAGCACAGAGCAGCAUGGAAAUUGACCCAAGAUUGUUCAACUGACAUCUACUCAUCACCAAGACAGAAACCACCUCUUUCUCACCAUAGUGCAAUCAGUGCAUAGAGAGCAAUCAAGCUUGCAAAGCCACUAUGACUGAGAAGAGAACUGGAGGGUAGACUGCUUUCAAAAACAGCCGGUGUCUGAAGGGAACACAAAAGCCCCUCUUUUCUCUGAUUUCAAGCAUCUGCAUGUAGAAGCCAGUCCGAACAGGAACCUACUCUUCCUGCUGUCUGCUGGCCUCCUCGACCCUCUCCAGCUUAUCCAGAGAGAAGGACAGGGGUUGUUUUUGGACUGUGGUUCCCCCCAUUGUGCCUCAAAGGGCAGCACAGGAAAGAGCAGACACAAAGAUAAAAGUGGACAACCUCUCUUAGGACUCCUUAAGAUCUUCUUGGAGACAGCGUAAAAACUCCCAUUUCGAGUCGUGAAGGGAAAACAGAGCAAAGAUCUUAGUGUCCUGGUGGACAGUGUUGUGUGAUGGAGGACUCUGACCUGACGCCGACACUCCUGACCUCAAAGUGUGCAGUCUGAGGGCAGUCUGUGAAACCCCAGUGCAUGUUUGCAUUCCUGAAACGGUCUGUAGCAGACGGUGAAGGCUGGAUGAAGAAUGGGAAUGUUGCUUUAAGGUUUGUGGGUUCGGAGGUUAUCGCACAAGCUGCCUACACAGGCUCUCCAACAGUCCAUAUUGAGGUGAUACCCAUACCGCUUGAGAUUCAGUAGCAUAAGCCAAAAGACACUGUAUGUUAUAAAGAUUUUACCACAAUAAGAGGUGUCUUUAAGGCCCAGUAUACUGAUGGUGAAGCUCUUUUUUGAUCUUUGCUUAGAGGUGAAAAGAAUUGUGAAGUAUCUGAGCAGGAGUAUACUGUUAACGAACAUCAUGGUGCCACCCACACCACUGAGAGUGCCGU